This 73-nucleotide transfer RNA is filed under the name Rhodococcus sp. RS1C4. RNAcentral describes it as "tRNA-Trp". It matches the Rfam family "tRNA". Rfam says of the family: Transfer RNA (tRNA) molecules are approximately 80 nucleotides in length. Their secondary structure includes four short double-helical elements and three loops (D, anti-codon, and T loops). The record is from RNAcentral. Lineage: Bacteria; Bacillati; Actinomycetota; Actinomycetes; Mycobacteriales; Nocardiaceae.
AUGCCUGAGCUAGUGGUAGCGGCCCGGUCUCCAAAACCGACGCCCGCAGGUUCGACUCCUGCCAGGUAUGCAA